RNAcentral lists this ribosomal RNA (164 nucleotides) under Triticum turgidum subsp. dicoccum. RNAcentral's name for it is "Triticum dicoccon 5.8S ribosomal RNA". It matches the Rfam family "5.8S ribosomal RNA". From Rfam's summary of the family: 5.8S ribosomal RNA (5.8S rRNA) is a component of the large subunit of the eukaryotic ribosome. It is transcribed by RNA polymerase I as part of the 45S precursor that also contains 18S and 28S rRNA. Lineage: Eukaryota; Viridiplantae; Streptophyta; Magnoliopsida; Poales; Poaceae. The record is from RNAcentral.
CACACGACUCUCGGCAACGGAUAUCUCGGCUCUCGCAUCGAUGAAGAAUGUAGCGAAAUGCGAUACCUGGUGUGAAUUGCAGAAUCCCGCGAACCAUCGAGUCUUUGAACGCAAGUUGCGCCCGAGGCCACUCGGCCGAGGGCACGCCUGCCUGGGCGUCACGC